RNAcentral lists this ribosomal RNA (307 nucleotides) under Nostoc sp. HG1. RNAcentral describes it as "bacterial SSU rRNA". It matches the Rfam family "Bacterial small subunit ribosomal RNA", at positions 1 to 335 of the family's 1533-position model. Lineage: Bacteria; Bacillati; Cyanobacteriota; Cyanophyceae; Nostocales; Nostocaceae. The record is from RNAcentral.
AAACUUGAGAGUUUGAUCAUGGCUCAGAAUGAACGCUGGCGGCAUGCCUAACACAUGCAAGUCGAACGAGACCUUCGGGUCUAGUGGCGCACGGGUGCGUAACGCGUGGGAAUCUGCCCUUGGGUUCGGAAUAACAGUCGAGAAAUUACUGCUAAUACCGGAUAAUGACUUCGGUCCAAAGAUUUAUUGCCCAAGGAUGAGCCCGCGUAAGAUUAGGUAGUUGGUGGGGUAAAGGCCUACCAAGCCGACGAUCUUUAGCUGGUCUGAGAGGAUGAUCAGCCACACUGGGACUGAGACACGGCCCAGA